RNAcentral lists this ribosomal RNA (253 nucleotides) under uncultured bacterium. RNAcentral's name for it is "partial 16S ribosomal RNA". It matches the Rfam family "Bacterial small subunit ribosomal RNA", at positions 524 to 776 of the family's 1533-position model. The record is from RNAcentral.
UACAGAGGUCCCAAGCGUUGUUCGGAUUCACUGGGCGGAAAGGGUGCGUAGGCGGUCGGGUAAGUCUGACGUGAAAUCUCCAAGCUCAACUUGGAAAUGGCGUCGGAUACUAUUCGGCUCGAGGAGUGGAGGGGAGACUGGAAUUCUCGGUGUAGCAGUGAAAUGCGUAGAUAUCGAGAGGAACACCAGUGGCGAAGGCGAGUCUCUGGACACUUCCUGACGCUGAGGCACGAAAGCCAGGGGAGCAAACGGG